Molecule: ribosomal RNA, 512 nt
Filed under: Heteronemertea sp. 2DS
Lineage: Eukaryota; Metazoa; Nemertea; Pilidiophora; Heteronemertea
Description: partial 16S ribosomal RNA
Rfam family: Bacterial large subunit ribosomal RNA
Source: RNAcentral
UGUUUAGUUUUAUAUUAGGUUGUUUCUGCCCGGUGAUAGUUUUUAACGGCCGCGGUAUUCUGACCGUGCAAAGGUAGCAUAAUAGUUUGCUCUGUAAUUUAGGGCUGGGAUGAAUGGGAGGACGAGAGUUAGUCUGUCUUCUGCUUAGUUUUGGAAUUUUCUUUUUAGGUGAAGAGGCCUGAGUGUCGGAGUGGGACAAGAAGACCCCGUCGAGUUUUACUAUUAUUUUGGUUUGGUUUUUGUAUUUGUGGGUGUUGUGAUUGCUUGCUUUAUAUUUUUUGGUUAACUGGUUGGUUUGGUUGGGGCGAUCUGAGAAGAGUGGAAUCUUCUUUUUUUUUUAUAUACUGGUGGAAUAGUGAUCCAUGGUUUGUGAUCUAGGGACUAAGUUACCGCGGGGAUAACAGCGUAAUUUUCUUUGAGAGUUCUUAUCGAAAGGGAAGGUUGCGACCUCGAUGUUGACUUAUUAUUUCCUUUAUUGGUGUAGGUUCUGGUAGGGUUGGUCUGUUCAACCA